This is a non-coding RNA of Tupaia belangeri chinensis (Chinese tree shrew), 1262 nucleotides long. Lineage: Eukaryota; Metazoa; Chordata; Mammalia; Scandentia; Tupaiidae. The record is from the annotation of a RefSeq genome assembly.
AGGUAUAUUUGGUUAUUUAAUCUGCACAGAAUUUUUAUAUGGACACCCCUAUUGCAUCCAUGUUUAAAGCACAAAGAGAUUACAAAAUGAGCACAGGGCUACACGGUUCCACAUGAAACAUAAAGAGAUUAAGAAAUUGGCACAGGGCUAGGCAGUUUCCACAUGAUAAAGAUGGGCAUUAAUAGUUUCAGACAUUACAUAAUGCUUGAAUAGCAUGGAAAGCUGCUCAGAUCCUAAGUUGAACUGAAAGAACAUAAAACCUUAUCUGAAUACAGUUAUAGUCUAUUAUAUCACAUUGAUAUCCAUGUAUGUGUAAAGAAAAAUUCCUAGAAGUUGACACGACAUAAUCAUAUUGUUGGUCCUGGUGAUAGGAUCAGAGGUGUUGUUAUUUUUGUCUUUACCCUGUUUCUCUAAGUUUCCUCAAUGAGCAUCCUUACCAGCAUGUCCUACUGCUUCACUGAGUCGCUCUUCCCUUUGUUGUACCUCAAUAUUUCAUAUUCUAUCAAAUGAAAACCACAAGUAUCCAUAUUACAUGAUUGUUGCCAUGUAAAGGGUUCAUAAAAUAACUCCUAGAUGCAGAAACCCUCCCCAUCUCCAUGGCAAUUAAGGCGCCUCCUCAGUUCCCUCGCACUCAAGCAGAGCCCUCUGGAGAACACCAGCUUGGUCCUGAGAUCUGCAGGGCAACCAUGAGGUGUGCAGUGCUGAGUCUGUAGCCAAGGCCAAAGAUCCGCUCAGCUCACCAUUUCCUUCCUUCUCCCCAUUUCAGGCCACACCCUCUGCACUGUCCUGAGGUGUCCAGUCACCAGGUCUCCAUGUCCUGCCUUUCCUGACACGGCCUGGCAGACAGGAUGUCACUGUUGGAAGCAGUCGCCUUCUGCUCCUUCUGGACUGUUGGACUUGGACUAUCAAAAGUGGAGCAGCACCAGGUGUCUGUUACCACAGAAGUCAAGAAGAGCAUCGACAUAUAUUGCAAGAUAUCCAGCACAUAUUUUGAAACUGACAUCAUUCACUGGUACCGGCAGAAGCAGAAUCAGACUUUAGAGCAUCUAAUUUAUGUGUCCUCAACAAAAUCUCCAGCUCGGGGUCAUAUGUGGAGUGGGAAGAACAACAAAGUUGAAGCAAGAAAGAGUUCUCAAAUUUCCACUUCAAUCCUUACCAUAAACUUCAUAGAAAAAGAAGAUGAGGCCAUUUUCUACUGUGCUGGGUGGGACACAGCCACAGUACCAGAACUGUAGCAGGAACUCACUCAAGAUCUCUGCUUG